RNAcentral lists this ribosomal RNA (301 nucleotides) under uncultured bacterium. RNAcentral's name for it is "partial 16S ribosomal RNA". It matches the Rfam family "Bacterial small subunit ribosomal RNA", at positions 509 to 807 of the family's 1533-position model. The record is from RNAcentral.
CAGUAGCCGCGGUAAAACAGAGGGUGCGAGCGUUAAUCGGAUUUACUGGGCGUAAAGCGUGCGUAGGCGGCUUCUUAAGUCGGAUGUGAAAUCCCUGAGCUUAACUUAGGAAUUGCAUUCGAUACUGGGAAGCUAGAGUAUGGGAGAGGAUGGUAGAAUUCCAGGUGUAGCGGUGAAAUGCGUAGAGAUCUGGAGGAAUACCGAUGGCGAAGGCAGCCAUCUGGCCUAAUACUGACGCUGAGGUACGAAAGCAUGGGGAGCAAACAGGAUUAGAUACCCGAGUAGUCCCUGUCUCUUAUAC